This 702-nucleotide ribosomal RNA is filed under the name halophilic archaeon. RNAcentral's name for it is "bacterial SSU rRNA". It matches the Rfam family "Archaeal small subunit ribosomal RNA", at positions 85 to 785 of the family's 1478-position model. The record is from RNAcentral. Lineage: Archaea; Methanobacteriati; Methanobacteriota; Halobacteria; Halobacteriales.
AUAGCUCAGUAACACGUGGCCAAACUACCCUGUCGAUCGGGACACCCUCGGGAAACUGAGGCUAAUCCCGGAUACGGCUCGCUGCCUGGAGUUGGCGCGAGCCCGAAACGUUCAGGCGCGACAGGAUGUGGCUGCGGCCGAUUAGGUAGACGGUGGGGUAACGGCCCACCGUGCCGAUAAUCGGUACGGGUUGUGAAAGCAAGAGCCCGGAGACGGAAUCUGAGACAAGAUUCCGGGCCCUACGGGGCGCAGCAGGCGCGAAACCUUUACACUGCACGCGAGUGCGAUAGGGGGACUCCAAGUGCGAGGGCAUACAGUCCUCGCUUUUCACCACCGUAAGGAGGUGGUAGAAUAAGUGCUGGGCAAGACCGGUGCCAGCCGCCGCGGUAAUACCGGCAGCACGAGUGAUGACCGCUAUUAUUGGGCCUAAAGCGUCCGUAGCCGGCCGGGCAAGUCCAUCGGGAAAUCCGCACGCCUAACGUGCGGGCGUCCGGUGGAAACUGUUCGGCUUGGGACCGGAAGAUCCAGAGGGUACGUCUGGGGUAGGAGUGAAAUCCUGUAAUCCUGGACGGACCACCGGUGGCGAAAGCGCUCUGGAAAGACGGAUCCGACGGUGAGGGACGAAAGCUUGGGUCACGAACCGGAUUAGAUACCCGGGUAGUCCAAGCUGUAAACGAUGUCUGCUAGGUGUGGCACAGGCUA